This 253-nucleotide ribosomal RNA is filed under the name uncultured bacterium. RNAcentral describes it as "partial 16S ribosomal RNA". It matches the Rfam family "Bacterial small subunit ribosomal RNA", at positions 524 to 776 of the family's 1533-position model. The record is from RNAcentral.
GACGAACCGAGCGAACGUUGUUCGGAAUAACUGGGCUUAAAGGGCGCGUAGGCGGGCCGCCAAGUUCGAGGUGAAAUCCUCCGGCUCAACCGGAGAACUGCCUCGAAUACUGGAGGCCUCGAGGCGGGUAGGGGCACGCGGAACUGUGGGUGGAGCGGUGAAAUGCGUUGAUAUCCACAGGAACUCCGGUGGCGAAGGCGGCGACCUGGUCCUUGACUGACGCUGAGGCGCGAAAGCGUGGGGAGCAAACAGG